RNAcentral lists this ribosomal RNA (284 nucleotides) under Coccomyces dentatus. RNAcentral describes it as "partial 18S ribosomal RNA". The stretch from base 25 to 243 matches the Rfam family "Group I catalytic intron". From Rfam's summary of the family: Group I catalytic introns are large self-splicing ribozymes. The record is from RNAcentral. Lineage: Eukaryota; Fungi; Ascomycota; Leotiomycetes; Rhytismatales; Rhytismataceae.
CACCCUGCGUUGGAAGUAAAAGUGGUAACAAGGUUUCACCCACGUAGCCUUUGCAAGCGCGACUCGAAAUAAAUUUGCAAGUCGAUUCACUUCGGCGACACAACCAAACUAUCGGGGAACUCCACGGGCGACCGUGGAUGAUCCGCAGCACUCCCAGCAGUGUUCACAGGCUAAAUGGUUGUGGGUUCAGCAGUUCAAAGCUGCUGGGCUUAAGAUAUAGUCGGUCCCUGUGGUCAAUCACAGAGAGCUAACGUUCCGUAGGUGAACCUGCGGAAGGAUCAUUA